ACUCAAAUGAAUUGACGGGGACCCGCACAAGCGGUGGAACAUGUGGUUUAAUUCGAUGCUACGCGAAGAACCUCACCAGGACUUGACAUACAGGAAGUAGUGAACUGAAAGGGGAACCAUCCGUUAAGUCGGAAGCCUGUACAGGUGCUGCAUGGCUGUCGUCAGCUCGUGUCGUGAGAUGUUGGGUUAAGUCCCGCAACGAGCGCAACCAUUGCCCUAUGUUGCAAAUGCAUGUCCGAAAGGAUGUGCAUGCACUCUUAGGGGACUGCCUGGGAUAACCAGGAGGAAGGUGGAGAUGACGUCAAGUCAGUACGGCCCUUAUGUUCUGGGCUACACACGUGUUACAAUGGCAGAGACAAAGGGUUGCCAACCCGCGAGGGGGAGCUAAUCUCAAAAAAUCUGCCUCAGUUCGGAUAGUAGUCUGCAAUUCGACUACUUGAAGCCGGAAUCGCUAGUAAUGGAAGAUCAGCUCGCUUCCGUGAAUACGUUCCCGGGUCUUGUACACACCGCCCGU
This 514-nucleotide ribosomal RNA is filed under the name uncultured bacterium. RNAcentral's name for it is "partial 16S ribosomal RNA". It matches the Rfam family "Bacterial small subunit ribosomal RNA", at positions 899 to 1397 of the family's 1533-position model. The record is from RNAcentral.